Molecule: small nuclear RNA, 124 nt
Organism: Artibeus jamaicensis (Jamaican fruit-eating bat)
Lineage: Eukaryota; Metazoa; Chordata; Mammalia; Chiroptera; Phyllostomidae
Source: RefSeq, a predicted model, not a curated record
GUGUUGUGCGAAGGGAGAGAAGAUGAGCACUCCCCUCUGAGUGUGGAAGAGGCUCCUGGGCCUAAGGACUCGCAUAACGUGAAGGUGUUGCCACUUACUUCGUGGUCUUUAACCACUGUUUUUU